UUUUUUUUUUUUUUAUUUUUUUUUUGUUUGUUUCUGUUGGUUUGGUUUUUUGCCUAAACUAACAUGGUUCUUAGGGAAGCUCAGCACUGACUUACAGCCAAUAGGGCCUUUCUGGGUAGCAGCCAGAUGACAAUAUCUCCUCGCAAAAGAGGUUUCCCUUUUCAGAUAUCUCUGCGUUAUUUAUAGUCAAAAAGCAAUGCAUACAAAAGCUCAGGAGAAAAGGGAGGGGCAGCAUCAAGCAUCUUGAGAUUUUAUUAAAUUACUGCCUGACAGAGAAAUAGUUGCCAAAGUCUUUUUGAUUGGUUUUAAAAUCUUUCUAUUAUAGGCAAAAAUGUCCAUUAGUUAAAGAUCUGUCAGCCCAGAGAUAAGGAAAAGGCUUUAAUUUCUAAAUAGAAAGGCACUUAGUAUUUAAACCACCUGCAGUGUACUUGCUUCUAGAAUAUGAUGGGGGAUUUGUUUGCUUUUGGUUUUUUGGGAGGGGACUGAGGAGGGAAGUGUUAGCUUACUUUAGAAAGAAUGCCUAGGAUAGAAAAACAGCUGGAGUAGAAAUACAGUGGGGGCAGAAUUGUGGUUCCAUGGGAGAGCCAGGAAAUUUCAGUGGAACAGCUCCCUUGCUUUAAAUUUAGCAGCUGCUGACGCACAUAGCAGAAUUCUCUCAAAGCACACUGGUUUUUUGUCUUGAUUUUUCGAGAAAAUAUAGCUCAUGUUAAUGUGCCUCUUCUGCCUCCUAUUCCUUCUAAGCCAUGAAGGCUGCAAUUGAUCGAAGCCUUCAAUUGGUUGAUUCUAAUCCAGUUUGCUACAAGCCUUAAAACACUGCAGCAAAUUGCACUGAUUGUUCAGUUAUCCAGGGAAAAGAGCUGUCCUCUCUCCAGAGGCUGUGAUGGACAGUAAGGGUAAUCAGGUCCACCCAGAUUUUGCUAGUAAUUGAACUAAAUAAAGCUCUUCCCUAGCCAGCUCUUUGGCCAGUGAGGUUUAAAACCCUGGUGACAUCUUAAGUGUAUUCAAUUUAGAUCUGCCUGAGAAUUUUGUAUAUUAUUUAUGAGGAUGGAUUGAUUUUUCUUUUCUAUGAGGGAAUCAUAUAACAUGUAUCCCUCCUUCCCUAUCAUAUGUACUUCUGGUAAAAUAGUUCCUACAUAAAUACCAAUGCAUCACUGUCCGAAGAAUUGUACAGUUUUAAAAGACUGCCUCAUUUUGUAGUUCCUUACUUUACCAGGGUAACAAAAAAUUAAUGGAGAGGAAAAAAAAAAACAAAACCAACCUGAAUACACAGAAAAUUCACAACUAACUUUCCUGCUUGCUGUUGACAGUCCAUUACAGUAUAAGGUUAAGUCCUCCAGCUACUUCCCUACUGUCUUCCAGUUACAUGUUAUACAGAUAUUAUUUAACCUUGUCCCAAAACAUGUUAAAACUGAGAAGGCAAAAAAGCACGGAGAUGGGUAGUAACAUCAUCUUACUUUGUCUCAGAACAUAGUUCACAUAAUUGCUCUUUCCUGGCCUAUACUUGAAAAAUCAGAAUUCUUACAUAAUUUAUGUCCAUCUUUUUCUUCCACAGGAUGAGGUUUUCAUUUUCAUAAGACAUUUAAACACCCUCUCCCCAGCAAGCUGGAUAAGAAAAAAGAUUACAGCAGAUUUUGGGUUCAUAAAUUCAAAACUGUGAUCACAAACAUGUGAUUCUGCUAAGCAAUUUUUGGGCUCUGAUGAUUCUGUUAACUCCAGAGAUGAUUUUAGGGUUCAUUGCCAAAGACUUAAAUGCUCUCCAGACAGCAUGCUGGCUUUAGAUCUGGUUCUAAGGGUGAGAUUAUAACAGAGUUCUGAAUUAUUGCUAGUGCUGUCAGUCUAGCAGGGGGGGAGUGUUUAUAGUUAGGCACCAGUGGAAUUAUUUCUCUGGAGUAUGUGAUCUCCUGUGAUCCAUCCUACAUCAACCAUUUUCCACAAGGCUGUCCCUAUUCAAGCAAGCCUGUGCCCCAUAUCUUAUCAGUAAUUUGUAUGUCCUUGUUUAUAUCAAAGGUUAUCUACUGCUUUCUCUUGAUGAAGUUGUCCCUGCUUCUGUCUCUGUUCUCCAUCUCCCUUCUCCCACAACUAUGAAGAUAUCAGUAUUUCCAUCCAUUCCCUCAAGAAGAUUGAAUGAGGCUAUACCUUUCAGCAGGGAAAAGGAAGAGUGGGAGAUGGGCCUCAGACAAAGCAAGGUUUAUUCAGAAAUUUCCUAUUGGAAUUAAAAGGCUACAAAAGUUUGUUUAAAUUCUGAGCCAGUUGGAAAAUACCACAGCAGUAAAUAUUUCUAACCUUUAAAAUAAACAAAAAAAAAUACAAUAUGCACGCUGAACUCAGAAUGAGGUCCAUCUUUAUAUUUCAUGACAGCAAGUUUUUAUUUAUUUAAACUAAGCUGAAAAAUUUAGGAUUACUACUUCUGUUUCAAAACUGGAGAAUAAAAGUUAUAUUUCAAUUUCCCAGAUGCAUUCACUGCAUCAGGGAAAAGCAGUAAAUCCAAGAAGCUGAAAGUGAAACAGUCUCAUAAAAUGUCAUCUGACUCCAUUGAGCUGCCUUAUCUCAGGGUCUAACACAACUUUGGGCAUUUACUAGAACACUGUCAAGCCUCUGAACAGCUGCAAAAGAGCUCACAUGGUUUCCCAUCCCAAAGCUGCUGUAAAACAUUUCAGUGGUGACACAAAGGUACACCUUAAAUUAAUCAGUGGGUAAGGAAGAAAACACUUGGAAAAACAAUUCUCCCCUCAGUUUUGGGAAAAACUUCUGCAUAGAAGCAGCCUUGCUUGGUGCUGAGGGAGAAAGAGGGUCGGACAAAAAAGCCUCCAACCCUGAGAUCAGUUCAGCUGCUGCAAAGUCAGUCUGGCAAAUUUCCAUGGAUAUGGUUUGUACUGAGGCUGCCCAAGGGCCAGUGUUGAAUCUACUCUGCUAAAAAAUCCUGCAAUUUCUUCUUGUCCAACGCUGCCUUCCCACUGCCUGUGCCAAUGCCAGUCUGCUGUGAGUCCUGGAAAUAAAACAGCACUACAGAUCAAACUCUGUAGGAAGUUGCUCUAAUACCUAGGACGGGGCCAAGAACGCACCAGGGGAAGAGCUUCACCCCACUGGAACAAAAAGAGGACUAAGUGCAAUUUAUGGGCCCAGUGGUAACAGCCUGGCCUCCAAUCAGUAGCACAUGCAUUACUGAUGUGCCCAUAUUGCCACUCCUGCAUUUAGUUUUGCAAAACACUAGUUAUGACCUGCCAAACUCCAGUGCCCAUGUACAGGCAGCAUGGCACACUUCAAAUGCCCUGGGCCUGUACUCUGUGGCCAACAGGCCCAGAGACACUGUUCAAACUACAGAGGGAAAAGCCUGAAUGUAGUGCACAGCCCAGCCACAUCUCUCAUGUUAGUGCAGAAAUGAGCAUUUGAGAACAGACGAUUUUUGCACUUGGAACUGAGCCC
Molecule: long non-coding RNA, 3423 nt
Organism: Taeniopygia guttata (zebra finch)
Lineage: Eukaryota; Metazoa; Chordata; Aves; Passeriformes; Estrildidae
Source: Ensembl